RNAcentral lists this long non-coding RNA (242 nucleotides) under Elaeis guineensis (African oil palm). Its description in RNAcentral is "long non-coding RNA (EGUI_LNC075799)". The record is from RNAcentral. Lineage: Eukaryota; Viridiplantae; Streptophyta; Magnoliopsida; Arecales; Arecaceae.
GAUGCAUAUGGAGUUUGGUAUCAUAGAGUUUAAUUGAUGUUCUGUUUCGUUCUUAUUCAUCCCCCAUGAGUUUUAUAAAUUUUCAGUCUAUGUAUAGAGUUCCUUUUCUUGUUAGUGAUUUUGAUCACUUGUGCAAUGUAACUAGAAGGGGAAAAAAAAAGCUAACCCAACUUAAUCACAUGUUUAAUAUAACUUCUAAACUCUAAUUAACUAAAUGUAAGGCGGUUGGCUAAGUAUGUGGA